GGUUGAGUAGUGUAGUGGUUAACAUGGUGGCUUCACAUUGACAAUGGAAGCGCUACAGCCCCGGGUUCGAUUCCCGGCUCGACUA
Transfer RNA from Metarhizium album ARSEF 1941, 85 nucleotides. It matches the Rfam family "tRNA". From Rfam's summary of the family: Transfer RNA (tRNA) molecules are approximately 80 nucleotides in length. Their secondary structure includes four short double-helical elements and three loops (D, anti-codon, and T loops). The record is from Rfam. NCBI's taxonomy places the organism in Eukaryota, Fungi, Ascomycota, Sordariomycetes, Hypocreales, Clavicipitaceae.